Molecule: ribosomal RNA, 548 nt
Filed under: uncultured bacterium
Lineage: Bacteria
Description: bacterial SSU rRNA
Rfam family: Bacterial small subunit ribosomal RNA
Source: RNAcentral
UGGGGAAUAUUGUGCAAUGGGGGGAACCCUGACGCAGCCAUGCCGCGUGAAUGAAGAAGGCCUUAGGGUUGUAAAGUUCUUUCGGUAUUGAGGAAGGUUGAUGUGUUAAUAGCACAUCAAAUUGACGUUAAAUACAGAAGAAGCACCGGCUAACUCCGUGGCAGCAGCCGCGGNAAUACGGAGGGUGCGAGCGUUAAUCGGAAUAACUGGGCGUAAAGGGCACGCAGGCGGUUAUUUAAGUGAGGUCUGAAAGCCCCGGGCUUAACCUGGGGAUUGCAUUUCAGACUGGGUAACUAGAGUACUUUAGGGAGGGGUAGAAUUCCACGUGUAGCGCUGAAAUGCGUAGAGGUGUGGAGGAAUACCGAAGGCGAAGGCAGCCCCUUGGGAAUGUACUGACGCUCAUGUGCGAAAGCGUGGGGAGCAAACAGGAUUAGAUACCCUGGUAGUCCACGCUGUAAACGCUGUCGAUUUGGGGGUUGGGGUUUAACUCUGGCGCCCGUAGCUAACGUGAUAAAUCGACCGCCUGGGGGAGUACGGCCGCAAGGUUA